AGAGUUUGAUCUUGGCUCAGGAUGAACGCUAGCGACAGGCCUAACACAUGCAAGUCGAGGGGCAGCGCGGAGGUAGCAAUACUUCUGGCGGCGACCGGCGCACGGGUGAGUAACACGUAUGCAAUCUGCCUGUAACAGGGGGAUAACCCGGAGAAAUCCGGCCUAAUACCCCAUAACGACAUAUCUUCGCAUGGGGAGAUGUCUAAAGAGAGCAAUCUUGGUUACAGAUGAGCAUGCGGUCCAUUAGCCAGUUGGCGGGGUAACGGCCCACCAAAGCGACGAUGGAUAGGGGUUCUGAGAGGAAGGUCCCCCACAUUGGAACUGAGACACGGUCCAAACUCCUACGGGAGGCAGCAGUGAGGAAUAUUGGUCAAUGGUCGGCAGACUGAACCAGCCAAGUCGCGUGAAGGAAGACGGCCCUACGGGUUGUAAACUUCUUUUGUCGGAGAGUAAAGUGCGCUACGCGUAGCGUAUUGCAAGUAUCCGAAGAAAAAGCAUCGGCUAACUCCGUGCCAGCAGCCGCGGU
RNAcentral lists this ribosomal RNA (526 nucleotides) under uncultured chicken cecal bacterium. Its description in RNAcentral is "bacterial SSU rRNA". It matches the Rfam family "Bacterial small subunit ribosomal RNA", at positions 8 to 521 of the family's 1533-position model. The record is from RNAcentral.